CUGGGGUAAAUUGGUCAUUUCCUUUUAUACUCAAUUUUCUUCCUUUUCUUUUUAAUAAAUAUAAAUAAAUCUUAAAAUAAAAAAAUAAAAAAAGAAGAAUAAGUUUCUUCUUCCCGUCACCAUCAUCCCCAACCAAGCUCAGCCAAGAGUUCACCCCUUCCGCCGCCGCCGCCGAUUUUCUGCCGGAGAACAUCAUCUUCUGCGGCAAACUCAUCCCCUAAAAACAACCUCAUAAUAAUAACAGCAGCAAUAAUCAACCGAUGAUCCAAAAGGCCAACAACAACAGCAAUUCACCAGAUCUGUUAAUAAUUGAGAGCAAGCAAAAUCGAAUCGAGAUGUGGAAGAAUUCGAGUACAAGUAAUGGAGCCAGAGGUACAACCCUAAUGCAGUCGCCGCCGCCGAAGAAAACGUACAACACCAACAAGCAGCUCAAUUUGUCCUUAUUCACAUCCUCGUCGUCUUCGGGGAAAACUAAGUGGUACUUUCUCUUUUUCGGUUCUCCGAGGUUUUCGACGGAGGUGGAUCUGAGAGAUUUCAAGAGC
Molecule: long non-coding RNA, 542 nt
Filed under: Erythranthe guttata (spotted monkey flower)
Lineage: Eukaryota; Viridiplantae; Streptophyta; Magnoliopsida; Lamiales; Phrymaceae
Description: long non-coding RNA (EGUT_LNC000769)
Source: RNAcentral